RNAcentral lists this ribosomal RNA (662 nucleotides) under Eurytrochus cognatus. RNAcentral's name for it is "partial 12S rRNA". It matches the Rfam family "Bacterial small subunit ribosomal RNA", at positions 524 to 1384 of the family's 1533-position model. Lineage: Eukaryota; Metazoa; Mollusca; Gastropoda; Trochida; Trochidae. The record is from RNAcentral.
GACAAACGGAUCGAGUCAAGAUUUGUUCAGUAUAAAAGGGGGUUAGGAAAAGACUUAGUUAAUAAGAGGAAGAUCUGGCUUUUUUAUAGAGGUGGAAUUUGAAUAAAAAAGUUUGGUUUGUUGUCUUCUGGAUUUCUGAUGCCUCGAAAGUUUGGUAGGAGACCGGGAUUAGAUACCCCGUUAUCUAUUAUAUAAAUUUUAAUUUGGUGUUUAGUUUACUUGGGUAUUACGGGUUGCUUAAGACAGAAUUGCUUGGGCAGAGUGCUUAAAACCCAAAAAACUUGGCGGUGCCUUAUUUCCUUUCAGGGGAACCUGUCCUGUAAUCGAUGGUCCACGAUUUAGCUUACCUUUUUUUGAAUUGUGUUAAGUUUAGUUAUCUAGAUUAACAUAAAGCAGUUUGUAUACCGUCGUCGUCAGAUUACCUUUAAGAGUUAUAAAAGUUGUCGGAAGAGAGUGUAGACUUGAAGUGCUUGUAAAAGUACUUAGAGUUUAUUUCUUAGAUGUCAGAUCAAGGUGCAGCUUAUAAAAAGGAAGAGAUGGGUUACAGUAAAUAUUAAAUAUACGGAUUUCGUGUUGUAAUACGCGAUUGAAGGUGGACUUGAGAGUAAUAUUUUAAGUUUAGAAAAUAAUGAGUUUAUGUGAAUAAUGGUACUAAGGUGCGU